ACGACCAGGACUAACUUCUCUUUCUAAAAAUGACCGAAACAGUGGUGGGGGACGUAUGUGCAGACAUGUAGCACACUUUGUCAUGGAUCGUCUCCUUUAUGGGCCCAGUAUUCGGUCGGACCUGAUACCUCAGUGGACGGUAGUGGUCGCUUUCUUUACCUACUUGAUCAACGACAAUGUAGAGAGCAAACAGGCGGUUUUAAUAGAAAACCUAUUGGAGAUGAUUUUGGAUGUUCAGCUGGACCAGAGCUGCUGGGUGCGGAAGAUCGGGGUAUGCCCCGGAGAAUUUGAAUAAGGAACUCGUGGUGCGGUACUGCAAUCAGAUACUGGGCAUUUUAAUGAACUGUUUGGAUUAUCACAAUUUGGGGAACGAAAGCGAGCUGAUCCUGGAGUCCCUGCAAUCCUUCUCGAAACUCCUGAACAGUUUGCCAGGGUACAAAUUCAGUUCCUUUCAAGUUACCGGAGCAGUGAGGAUCAAGUUGCUAUUCAGUCAAGAGGAUCCAGGUCUAAGGAGAUCCUCGAUCCAGUUAUUAGGAGAUCUGGCAACAUCCCUUGGCCAGGAGACCAAUUUUGAGGCAUUCAAGGAUCGAGUGAGAUCCAAGGGAACCUCAUCACUUUACUCUUGCAUCUAUGCAAUCCAGACGUGUAUGUUGUCAAGGCCUGUAAAAGUACGAUCCAGAAGGUUGGCCCUUAUCUGGAUUUUCCGGAGGUAUACCGCAUGAUCCAGGAGUGUUUGGGCGACGACACCGACUUGAUGUUCACGGAUUUUAUUAAGGAGUUAAUUAAACGCAUAGGAUUUAUGGAAUCAAUGAUAUCAAGGUUAUUUGGGGAUCAAAUCGAGGACGAGUUGGUUUAAUGGUGAUGUCUAAGGGCCAAUCACGCCCUUGUCACCGGUUUGUUCUACGCCAAACUACUAAAGUUUCACUGGAAACUGUCUGCGAUAAACUGAUUAGACUGAUGCAAGACGAGUCAGAAGAAGUUAGGAUUAAGGCAAGUCAUGCUAUAUCGUGUUUGUUUUUAUAAUUAUUUAUUUUUAAUUUUUACAAAGGGGCACCUUGUACGUAAUAAUAAAAAACUAAAAAAAUUGUAGUUUUUGCAAAAAAUCAAAAUUUCGGUUUUUUACCAUUAACAUGUACUUUAUAAGAUCGUAAAUUUUGCAUAACUUUUUUGGUAUUUAAGAUAGAGCUUUUAUUUAAAAACUGUCAAGUACUCCUUGCGAACGGGCACCUUGCACAUAAUUAUCAAAACUAAAAAUAUUAUAGUUUUUAAGAAAAAUCAAAAUUUCUGUUUUUACAAUUAACAUGUACUUUUUUAGAUCGAAAAUUUUGCAUAACUUUUUUGUUAUUAAAGAUAGAGCUUUCAUUUAAAAACUGUCAAGUACUUCUUGCAAAGGGGCACCUUGUACGUAAUAAUCAAAAACUAAAAAAAUUGUAGUUUUUGAGGAAAAUCGAAAUUUCGGUUUUUUACAAUUAACAUGUACUUUUUUAAAUCGAAAAUUUUGCAUAACUUUUUUGUUAUUAACGAUAGAGCCUUCAUUUAAAA
This 1542-nucleotide long non-coding RNA is filed under the name Anthonomus grandis grandis. RNAcentral describes it as "uncharacterized LOC126745719". The record is from RNAcentral. Lineage: Eukaryota; Metazoa; Arthropoda; Insecta; Coleoptera; Curculionidae.